UGUGUGUGUGUGUGUGUGUGUGUGUGUGUGUGUGUGUGUGUGUGUGUGUGUGUGUGUGUGUGUGUGUGUGUGUGUGUGUGUGUGUGUGUGUGUGUGUGUGUGUGUGUGUGUAGUUAGAUUUGGUGUUUGUACUUAAUAUACUGUGAGAAAAUAUUGAUUGUUACUGAUCUGCAGAGGCUGGCAAGAAGAAAUUGUCUUAAUUGUUGAUUGAUAGCUUUAUUAUGAGGUUAAGGAAGAGAUAAAGAUAAUGAAUUUGUCAGAGAGAGAGAGAGAGAGAGAGAGAGAGAGAGAGUGUAUAUGUGAUGUUUAUAUAUAGUGAUGUCUGUGCAAUAUUUAAUUCUGUUCAAUUUUGAUAUCCUAACUUUGUAUAUAUCACCAUGGUAACACCUGCACACACACACACACACACACACACACACACACACACACACACACACACACACACACACACACACACACACACACACACACACACACA
This is a long non-coding RNA of Portunus trituberculatus (swimming crab), 478 nucleotides long. RefSeq lists it as uncharacterized. The record is from RefSeq and is a predicted model, not a curated record. Lineage: Eukaryota; Metazoa; Arthropoda; Malacostraca; Decapoda; Portunidae. The transcript has 2 exons.